Molecule: ribosomal RNA, 237 nt
Filed under: uncultured bacterium
Lineage: Bacteria
Description: partial 16S ribosomal RNA
Rfam family: Bacterial small subunit ribosomal RNA
Source: RNAcentral
GCAAGUCGAGCGGAAUUUUCGGAUUUAGCGGCGAACGGGUGAGUAACACGUAGGUAAUCUACCUCCAGGUUUGGGAUAACUUCGGGAAACCGAAGCUAAUACCAGAUAGAAUCGAUUGGUGGCGACACUGAUUGAUUAAAGAUUUAUUGCCAGGAGAUGAGCCUGCGUCUGAUUAGCUUGAUGGUGGGGUAAAAGCCUACCAUAGCGACGAUCAGUAGCCGGCCUGAGAGGGUGAAC